Molecule: long non-coding RNA, 1429 nt
Organism: Brienomyrus brachyistius
Lineage: Eukaryota; Metazoa; Chordata; Actinopteri; Osteoglossiformes; Mormyridae
Exons: 4
Source: RefSeq, a predicted model, not a curated record
UUGAUCUAAUACUUGGAGCGGCACAGACAAGGAAACAAACAAUUUAAAGGACAGUCAUGUACACACACAUUCCACGGUUUCUAUAGAUACUCCGAUCAGGAUUUUUGGGGCUAAUAAUCCUCCGAUACCGAUUUCUGGAAAAAUGAGCCAGAAUUUCGCACUCAGUGACAGGACUGUGUUUUUCCAAGAAACAAACGUAGAUUUUUUUUUUAGAGAAAUAUAAGCAUAUUUGCAUGGAAAGAGUCUGUUCCUCUUCUCAUCCAAAUCAUGUGCCUACUUUCCACAGCCAUACACGAGUGCAAAGAUAAUCCCUGGUGCAUAUUUUUCGUACUCUCCUCCGUGAAGAUGCAAAUGUCUAACGAGUUAUCCUGGCUCCACCAAACGCACCCAUUGCUGAAAUGACGUCGACGUCUGACGAAUACAGCCACCUUAAGGCUACUGGUGCUGUAUCUCGGUGCAUCCAGGGACCGUGUACCGGGGGUGAUAUGUCAGGAGGGCGGGCAGGCAGCCCGAACAGCAUACGGCUCCCACACGGCUGCUCAGCGUCAUGGAGCCAGUGCUUAACCCCAGCCUUCAAUCAGCGUCCCAACAGAAAGAAACAGAUUGCCAUCAGAAUUUUUGGAUUUCCUUUCACUGAACAGACCAUGGGCUGCAUUACCCUUCAGAUAAGAGCGAGAAGGUUACAGGUGUCUCAGCCUUGACCUCUUUCAGGCGAGGACAGGCCAGCACUCUGACACGGUGCUCUGUGAAAUGGGGGCUUGGUUGUAAUGAUGUCAUAUAUGAUGGGAACCCAGGGUCCAGAUGUCAGCGAAUCAGGGAUCAGCCUGUUUCAGGAAGGUUGCUAUUGACAACCAUUGCAGAAUUCAAUUUAGCUGAAUUGAAGGGCAUUUAUUUGUGCGUUCCAGAAGUGCAACUUGAUCAAAUUUUGUUUUAAUGUACUGUAUGGAACCCCCCCCUAGUUGAGCAUCAGCAGCUUGAAAAUGUGUACAGCCCUGCUCCUGAUCACUAUAGCGAUGCCAUGGAGAUGAAUGAAUGAAUGGGAUGCUGUCAGUCAUUGACAGGGCCCCCAAGGGAGGGAACUCACUUUCACAAGACGCCAGGCACGGCGAGACGGCCAGCUUCUGGGGCUCACAAGUGACGCGGGAAUCAUGGAGGGGAGCAGACGGCUGCUGCACGUCGACAUGCGUGGCGCUGCAUGACAGUAGAGGACAUAACUACUCUGCAAAACAUUUAAACAAGUGCAUGGUGUAAGUCAUCACAUGCAAAAAUGUUAAUUCAUUUGUCAGAAACGUUCUCUCAGUGGUUAUGUGUAAUGGAAAUAGUUCCAAAAUAGAGGUUUAAUUGGAUGAUAAAAUUAGAAAUGACUUGUCACGAGCCACACAGCCACGUUUUCUUACACGCUGCAGUGGCUGCUGCCUGUGACGACGUC